GCUUACGGCCAUACCAGCCUGGGUACGCCCGAUCUCGUCUGAUCUCGGAAGCUAAGCAGGGUCGGGCCUGGUUAGUACUUGGAUGGGAGACCGCCUGGGAAUACCAGGUGCUGUAAGCA
Molecule: ribosomal RNA, 119 nt
Organism: Salmo trutta (river trout)
Lineage: Eukaryota; Metazoa; Chordata; Actinopteri; Salmoniformes; Salmonidae
Source: Ensembl